This 424-nucleotide ribosomal RNA is filed under the name uncultured bacterium. RNAcentral describes it as "bacterial SSU rRNA". It matches the Rfam family "Bacterial small subunit ribosomal RNA", at positions 355 to 796 of the family's 1533-position model. The record is from RNAcentral.
UAACGAAUCUUCCGCAAUGUACGAAAGUAUGACGGAGCGACGCCGCGUGUGGGACGAAGCCCUUCGGGGUGUAAACCACUGUCAGGGGACAGAAAGUUCUGAUCGUCCCCAGAGGAAGGCACGGCUAACUCUGUGCCAGCAGCCGCGGUAAGACAGAGGUGCCAAGCGUUAGGCGGAAUCACUGGGCUUAAAGCGUGUGUAGGCGGAUUCCUAAGUACCUUGUGAAAUCCCACGGCUCAACCGUGGAACUGCUUGGUAUACUGGGUGUCUUGAGCCAACUAGGGGCUACCGGAACAAAUGGUGGAGCGGUGAAAUGCGUAGAUAUCAUUUGGAACGCCAAUGGUGAAAACAGGUAGCUGGGAGUGUGCUGACGCUGAGACACGAAAGCCAGGGGAGCGAACGGGAUUAGAUACCCCUGUAGUCC